Molecule: long non-coding RNA, 471 nt
Organism: Drosophila virilis
Lineage: Eukaryota; Metazoa; Arthropoda; Insecta; Diptera; Drosophilidae
Source: RefSeq, a predicted model, not a curated record
CACGAAACAUGUCAAAAAUGUUGACAGCCAAAAACUCUAGGCCUUAACAAACUAUACGAACAAGUAGCUUAUGAAGUUUGAUCGAAUGCCAAGAAAAAACAUAUUGCCAAAAGUUUCUCAAAAAAAAUAAAAAAAAAAAACGGUACACUCGAAAUUCAGCUGAAUCAAACCGAAACGACAUCAACAGAGUUGACCUCGUUUCUCGAGCUUUUUUUGAUUUUUUGCUCAGCUGCCGUUUUCCAGUCAACUUUUUAUAAUGCUAUCGAGGAAUCUGUGCAUUGCCAUAAAAACAUUAAAUCAUAAAAUCAUUUACAUCCUCAAACCAAUUAACAAUGAAAACAAGUAAGAAUACAAUGUGGAAAUAAACUUUGAGCAGUGCGACGACUAUUGAAAUUCCCUUGAGGAGGAAACGGGAAGAAGAUAGGACCUUGCGAAUUUAUUUAAUUUACAAAAUAUAAAUAUUUAUUUCUA